AAAAAAAAAAAAAAAAAAAUUCCUAAAGCUUUCACUCUAGAAUUGAGUUUCCUUGAAAUUCCAUGAUUUGUAAAAAAUUUCAGGUUUCCAUCUGCAAUUAUAAUAAUAAACAAUAUUAAUAUAACUCAAAGCUUUUUGUGUAGUAAACUGCUAUGACUUUAUCUAUUAAAUUAUAUUAAUAUUUGUGCGCCUAUUAUAACGGUGUCUUUACCCAUGUCAUAUUAUCUUUUAAAAUCUGUGGCAAUGUGUUUUAUGGAAUAAGAAAACUAAGCGCACCAGAAUAUUGCUUUAAUGUCUAUUAUAAAUCAAUAAUUACAUUUGUUUGGCUUCUAAAGGAACGUACCGAUGAUGAUAGAAG
RNAcentral lists this unclassified non-coding RNA (358 nucleotides) under Hevea brasiliensis (rubber tree). Lineage: Eukaryota; Viridiplantae; Streptophyta; Magnoliopsida; Malpighiales; Euphorbiaceae. The record is from RNAcentral.